UACAGAGACUGCAAGCGUUGUUCGGAUUCAUUGGGCGUAAAGGGUGCGUAGGUGGCGCGAUAAGUCGGGUGUGAAAUCUCGGAGCUUAACUCCGAAAUUGCAUUCGAUACUGCCGUGCUCGAGGACUGGAGAGGAGACUGGAAUUCAUGGUGUAGCAGUGAAAUGCGUAGAGAUCAUGAGGAAGACCAGUGGCGAAGGCGGGUCUCUGGACAGUUCCUGACACUGAGGCACGAAGGCCAGGGGAGCAAACGGG
Molecule: ribosomal RNA, 253 nt
Filed under: uncultured bacterium
Lineage: Bacteria
Description: partial 16S ribosomal RNA
Rfam family: Bacterial small subunit ribosomal RNA
Source: RNAcentral